Molecule: transfer RNA, 80 nt
Organism: Stereum hirsutum FP-91666 SS1
Lineage: Eukaryota; Fungi; Basidiomycota; Agaricomycetes; Russulales; Stereaceae
Rfam family: tRNA
About the family: Transfer RNA (tRNA) molecules are approximately 80 nucleotides in length.
Source: Rfam
GGCAACUUGGCCGAGCGGUCUAAGGCGCCAGAAUCAGGAUCUGGUCCGAAAGGGCGUGAGUUCGAAUCUCACAGUUGUCA